This 246-nucleotide long non-coding RNA is filed under the name Capsicum annuum. RNAcentral's name for it is "long non-coding RNA (CANN_LNC019293)". The record is from RNAcentral. Lineage: Eukaryota; Viridiplantae; Streptophyta; Magnoliopsida; Solanales; Solanaceae.
CUUUAACCACUUCUCUUGAAAGAGCAUAGUCCUUUCACAUUGAGGUAAGUUUUUUUCCUGUGUAAAUCUACUAGUUAGUAGUAUACGUUGUAUUACAUUUGGAAUCUUUUCUUUACUUUUAUGUUUACAUUUUUGUCAAUUCAUACGUGUUCUAGAUAUGGAUGAUCCUAUUUGGGACAUUGCUAUUCAUCACAACAUAGUACGAGAACUUCACAGGGAAGUUAAUGACCUGCAGUGGGAGUUGGG